AUCUUCAGGGCGGGGUUCGUUUCCCCACCGGUGGUAUAGCCCACGAGCCGCAAGGCACGAUUCGGUGUGAUUCCGAAGCCGACAGUUAAAGUCUGGAUGAAAGAAGAU
RNAcentral lists this non-coding RNA (108 nucleotides) under pig gut metagenome. Its description in RNAcentral is "FMN riboswitch (RFN element)". It matches the Rfam family "FMN riboswitch aptamer (RFN element)". Rfam says of the family: The RFN element is a highly conserved domain that is found frequently in the 5'-untranslated regions of prokaryotic mRNAs that encode for flavin mononucleotide (FMN) biosynthesis and transport proteins. The record is from RNAcentral.